This 254-nucleotide ribosomal RNA is filed under the name uncultured bacterium. Its description in RNAcentral is "partial 16S ribosomal RNA". It matches the Rfam family "Bacterial small subunit ribosomal RNA", at positions 524 to 776 of the family's 1533-position model. The record is from RNAcentral.
UACGUAGGGGGCAAGCGUUGUCCGGAUUUAUUGGGCGUAAAAGGCUUGUAGGUGGCCACGCCAAGUCGGAUGUGAAAUCUCCCGGCUCAACUGGGAGGGGUCAUUCGAUACUGGCGGGCUCGAGGCCGGUAGGGGGAAGUGGAAUUCCCGGUGUAGUGGUGGAAUGCGUAGAUAUCGGGAGGAACACCUGUGGCGAAGGCGGCCCCCUGGUUGGAUACUGACGCUGAUACGCGAAAGCGUGGGGAGCAAACAGG